Molecule: RNA transcript, 870 nt
Organism: Sapajus apella (tufted capuchin)
Lineage: Eukaryota; Metazoa; Chordata; Mammalia; Primates; Cebidae
Gene name: mitochondrial import inner membrane translocase subunit TIM14 pseudogene
Exons: 1
Source: RefSeq, a predicted model, not a curated record
GGCUGGUCUCUAAUGUCUGACCUCAGGUUAGCCACCCGCUUUGGCCUCCCAAAGUGCUGGGAUUACAGUCAUGAGCUACUCUGCUCAGCCCUGACCAUUAAGUCUUUCGUAAGCAUUAUCCUAUAUGUAUACUGACAUGUGUGGAAAAUGAUGUAUGGCGAAGGCUAUUUGUUGCAUUAUUGUUUAUAACGGCAAAAUUCUUGAAGUAACUUAAAUGUUUUUCACUAGGGGAAUGACUUAAAAAAAAAUGGGACAGGUGUAGGGUGCCCGUGCUCUGUGGUUAGUACAUGUGUUCGGUCACGGGUGCGUCGCUCUGUGGUCCAGGCGUGCGGGUGUUGGCUGCGAUCUCUGCAGUGGGAUGAGCCAGGCUCCCGGUGGAAGCAAGGGAACCCGGCUGCAGCAGCCAUGGCCAGUAUAAUGGUAGCAGUUGGACUGACCAUUGCAGCUGCAGGAUUUGCAGGCCGUUAUGUUUUGCAAGCCAUGAAGCAUAUGGAGCCUCAGGUAAAGCAACUUUUUCAAAGUCUACCAAAAUCUGCCUUUAGUGGUGGCUGUUACAGAGGUGGGUUUGAACCCAGAAUGACAAAAUGGGAAGCAGCAUUAAUACUAGGUGUAAGCCCUACUGCCAAUAAAGGGAAAAUAAGAGAUGCUCAUCGACGAAUUAUGCUUUUAAAUCAUCCUGACAAAGGAGGAGCUCCUUAUAUAGCAACCAAAAUCAAUGAAGCUAAAGAUCUACUAGAAGGUCAAGCUAAAAAAUGAAGUAAAUGUAUCCUGAAUUUUAAGUUCGUAUUAGUUUAUGUAUAUGAGUAUUAACUUUUUAUAAUAAAAUGCCUCAGAGCUACAGUUUAGAAAAAUGAUUUAGCACAAGCUAAA